AGCUUAAGCUUUAUACAUUAUAAAAUGAUCAAACCUUAUUCUAUAUAUCGACACAUCAAAAGAGGAAAAACAUGACUAGAAUUCUCAAGUUUAUGUACGUUGUGUCUAUAUAUUUGUUCCUAUUUUUUGUUGCAACGACCAUUGAUGGUAAGUUCUUUUUCUUUCAAAUUUUAUUAUUUUACUUCUUUGUUUUGUACAAAAUCUUUUGUCUCAUUUUAGCAAAUACUAAUUUAUCUUUUUUCAUUAUAGCCCUUCCCGAAUGUUAUAAGGAUUCUGAUUGUAAAAAAUGUACAAUGCACAAAGUAACGUGUGUUCGUGGUGUGUGUAAAUGUAUCGUGACAGUGCCACGUAAUAUUUGAGUAACAAAUCAAAGAGAUCACACAUAUGUCUUGAAUGAGUGAAUAAGUAAUGUAUCUAAAGAAGGAUCUAUGUAAUAUUGUAUUCUAAGACAAUAAAUAUCUAUUGACCAUUAUUAACAUUGUCAACUUUUAUUUUUUAAUUUUGGAAAUAUCUCUUGAUCUUUAUUUUAUGCAAGCUACAAUUUCUUUCCAAU
Molecule: long non-coding RNA, 553 nt
Filed under: Lathyrus oleraceus (garden pea)
Lineage: Eukaryota; Viridiplantae; Streptophyta; Magnoliopsida; Fabales; Fabaceae
Description: Pisum sativum (pea) long non-coding RNA (PSAT_LNC041877)
Source: RNAcentral